Acromyrmex echinatior (Panamanian leafcutter ant) is the source of this 369-nucleotide long non-coding RNA. Lineage: Eukaryota; Metazoa; Arthropoda; Insecta; Hymenoptera; Formicidae. The record is from RefSeq and is a predicted model, not a curated record.
UUGAGUUGACAGGCGUAGCGCUAACUGUUCCGUGUAUCGUCGUGCAUUAUCUCUUGAAACGUGGUCACAAGUGCUAGAAGAUAUACAUCGUAAAAAUCUUCGUGCUUAUUAGAGGAGAGGACGAGAGGGAACGAGCGAGAGAGAGAGAGAGAGAGAGUGAGUGAGAAAGACGAUAAAUAAGGAUGACGAUACAACUACGUCGUUGUCGUCUGACGUCAACGAUGGCAACGACGACGAUGGUACUGGACGAUGGCGACUACGACGACGAUAUAGGACGACGACGACGACGCCGGGCGAUGCCGAUAAGACAUGCGAUUUAAAUUAGAUUUAAAAGCAGGACGCAUAUGUGAACUAUGAUGAGGACAGCCC